RNAcentral lists this long non-coding RNA (1627 nucleotides) under Oryza sativa (Asian cultivated rice). Its description in RNAcentral is "long non-coding RNA (OSAT_LNC000557)". The record is from RNAcentral. Lineage: Eukaryota; Viridiplantae; Streptophyta; Magnoliopsida; Poales; Poaceae.
CAAAAGAAAAUCAGCAGCGGAAUAACGGUCUAGCGAUGGCUUCAGCUCCACUCCCACAGGCAGCUCAACUGGGGUAUAAGCCAAACGUCUUCUUCUGGAUCCUUUUCUUCAACUGAGGUUGAUUGAUUAUUGCAAGGUGAGCAUAUGACAUACUCUGCAAGCCACACAGCAAAUAUGCAAGUGCACAAGGAUACCAAAAGAUGGCAUAAUAUAGACUCAUUUGCAAAAGCAGCAUUUAGCAAACAUUUGAGAAUUGAAAAAUAGUAGAGUAAUUAAUCAAUGUUAUUCAACACUGAACAGCACACCCAUGCUGCUCAGGCCCAACCAUCCUGAACAACCAUACCCGGCUGUAUAGAUCUAACUCCAAACCAGGAGCUAAGCAAAUUAUUACCAGUUAUAGCAUCAAUAAUUACUGUGAGAGGUGUGAGACUAAUCACGAAAAACAUUGUUCAACCUGCCCAUGAUCGCGGGCACGGCUAUUCGAAUAGUUUUACUCUGGCCAGAGGUGUAUCACCACUGUACCCACAAGACACAGCUCCACGACAUGUCACCAUGCGCCUCAAUACCACCACGGUACCUUGGAAAGGAACUGUGACAGUACCCCUCGCACAACACAACUCACCACAGUGCACCAUUCCUGGAUCAUAAUCACCCCCUCUACAACCAGAGGCAUGGACUCCCCAGCGACCCUCAUGGACUUCUCGCCGCUUCUCAGUCUGGUGCCCCGCAAUGAACCAUGCUAUACGAAAGGUAAAUCCGUUGCCCACGCUGGCUUGUGCUUGGCACGGUAAAUAUUUCACAACAAUAGCUCGUGAACCGUUCCUUAAUUGUCAUGAGCACGACCUUCAAAACCAUGUGCUCACAACCCACCAUUAUCAAGUUUUAAUUAUCAAUUAAUUAUCAUAACACAAUUAACCAUCGUGAGCUACCAUUAAAUAUAACCAUAAGUAACAAUGUAGUGUGAUUCAUCUCAUUUAUGGCUAAGCAAUUAUAUAUAUAGCAUUUAGCUGAACCAAUCCAAUAUAUAAAGUCCAAGCUAAUCAAUUUAUUACCCAUAGGAAAAUAAAGUCAUCUUCGGCCAUAAUUAAUUGGGAAUGGCUCACCACCCGAUGACAUUCGAAAAUAAUGCAUAAGUUGAAAUAAAACAAUAGCUUUAGAUAGGUUCAACAUGCUCAAAGGGUUGUUUGAGAUCUGUGUGACUUGCCUUGCAAUAAUCGGUCUUCAAUUAAUCUUCUUGAACACUUCCGACGCACUCACGAACCUUCGCAACGACGGAAACAACAAGCUAACACGAAAAACGAAGAAAAAGACUAAUAAAAACCAAAUAAACAGUACAUAAAAAGUAGACAAACAUGUAGAUCAUGAUUUUAGAUGAAUUUAGAGACUUGAACCACUUAAUUCCGACUUCAUAUGAAUUAGUUAUCAAUUUUACAAGAUAAAUAUGAUUUUAGCCUUAUACAGAACAGGAUUAACAAUGUCAUGACGACAUCAUUGCCGGCGAUGGAGGGUUUAGGCGGCCAAGCCGAGGCACCAGAAGAAAGAGCACGACGAGGGGAACUCACUGAGGGGCGGCACGACGAUGAAAAACGGCUGGCGAUGAGAUCGGGAGUGACGACGGGGUACCGAU